RNAcentral lists this ribosomal RNA (1364 nucleotides) under uncultured bacterium. RNAcentral's name for it is "bacterial SSU rRNA". It matches the Rfam family "Bacterial small subunit ribosomal RNA", at positions 28 to 1381 of the family's 1533-position model. The record is from RNAcentral.
AUUGAACGCUGUCGGCAGGCCUAACACAUGCAAGUCGAACGGUAACAGGAAGAAGCUUGCUUCUUUGCUGACGAGUGGCGGACGGGUGAGUAAUGUCUGGGAAACUGCCUGAUGGAGGGGGAUAACUACUGGAAACGGUAGCUAAUACCGCAUAACGUCGCAAGACCAAAGAGGGGGACCUUCGGGCCUCUUGCCAUCGGAUGUGCCCAGAUGGGAUUAGCUAGUAGGUGGGGUAACGGCUCACCUAGGCGACGAUCCCUAGCUGGUCUGAGAGGAUGACCAGCCACACUGGAACUGAGACACGGUCCAGACUCCUACGGGAGGCAGCAGUGGGGAAUAUUGCACAAUGGGCGCAAGCCUGAUGCAGCCAUGCCGCGUGUAUGAAGAAGGCCUUCGGGUUGUAAAGUACUUUCAGCGGGGAGGAAGGGAGUAAAGUUAAUACCUUUGCUCAUUGACGUUACCCGCAGAAGAAGCACCGGCUAACCCCGUGCCAGCAGCCGCGGUAAUACGGAGGGUGCAAGCGUUAAUCGGAAUUACUGGGCGUAAAGCGCACGCAGGCGGUUUGUUAAGUCAGAUGUGAAAUCCCCGGGCUCAACCCCGGGAACUGCAUCUGAUACUGGCAAGCUUGAGUCUCGUAGAGGGGGGUAGAAUUCCAGGUGUAGCGGUGAAAUGCGUAGAGAUCUGGAGGAAUACCGGUGGCGAAGGCGGCCCCCUGGACGAAGACUGACGCUCAGGUGCGAAAGCGUGGGGAGCAAACAGGAUUAGAUACCCUGGUAGUCCACGCCGUAAACGAUGUCGACUUGGAGGUUGUGCCCUUGAGGCGUGGCUUCCGGAGCUAACGCGUUAAGUCGACCGCCUGGGGAGUACGGCCGCAAGGUUAAAACUCAAAUGAAUUGACGGGGGCCCGCACAAGCGGUGGAGCAUGUGGUUUAAUUCGAUGCAACGCGAAGAACCUUACCUGGUCUUGACAUCCACAGAACUUUCCAGAGAUGGAUUGGUGCCUUCGGGAACUGUGAGACAGGUGCUGCAUGGCUGUCGUCAGCUCGUGUUGUGAAAUGUUGGGUUAAGUCCCGCAACGAGCGCAACCCUUAUCUUUUGUUGCCAGCGGUCCGGCCGGGAACUCAAAGGAGACUGCCAGUGAUAAACUGGAGGAAGGUGGGGACGACGUCAAGUCAUCAUGGCCCUUACGACCAGGGCUACACACGUACUACAAUGGCGCAUACAAAGAGAAGCGACCUCGCGAGAGCAAGCGGACCUCAUAAAGUGCGUCGUAGUCCGGAUUGGAGUCUGCAACUCGACUCCAUGAAGUCGGAAUCGCUAGUAAUCGUGGAUCAGAAUGCCACGGUGAAUACGUUCCCGGGCCU